AGAGUUUGAUCCUGGCUCAGAGCGAACGCUGGCGGCGUGCUUAACACAUGCAAGUCGAACGAGUGUAGCAAUACAUUCGUGGCGAACGGGUGCGUAACACGUGGAUAACCUUCCUUGAAGUGGGGAAUAACCCAGUGAAAAUUGGGAUAAUACCGCAUAACAUGACGAUGCCACAUGGUGUUGUCUUCAAAGGCGCAAGUCGCUACAAGAGGGAUCCGCGGCCGAUUAGCUUGUUGGCGAGGUAAUGGCUCACCAAGGCAAUGAUCGGUAGCCGGACUGAGAGGUUGGCCGGCCACACUGGAACUGAGACACGGUCCAGACUCCUACGGGAGGCAGCAGUGGGGAAUCUUGCACAAUGGGCGAAAGCCUGAUGCAGCAACGCCGCGUGGGGGAUGAAGCUUCUCGGAGUGUAAACCCCUUUCGACCCGGACGAAUGCCCGCAAGGGCUUGACGGUACGGGUAUAAGAAGCCCCGGCUAACUACGUGCCAGCAGCCGCGGUAAGACGUAGGGGGCCAGCGUUGCUCGGAAUUACUGGGCGUAAAGGGUCUGUAGGCGGUGCGGUAAGUUGGGAGUGAAAUCUCUGGGCUUAACUCAGAGGCUGCUUCCAAAACUACCGUGCUAGAGUGCGAGAGAGGCAAGUGGAAUUGCGGGUGUAGCGGUGAAAUGCGUAGAUAUCCGCAGGAACAUCCGAGGCGAAAGCGGCUUGCUGGAUCGCAACUGACGCUGAGAGACGAAAGCUAGGGGAGCAAACAGGAUUAGAUACCCUGGUAGUCCUAGCCCUAAACCAUCACGACUUGGGGUUUGUCCUGUACAGGGCAAGUCCCGGAGCUAACGCGUUAAGUCGUGCGCCUGGGGAGUACGGUCGCAAGACUGAAACUCAAAGGAAUUGACGGGGCCCGCACAAGCGGUGGAACAUGUGGUUCAAUUCGACGCAACGCGAAGAACCUUACCUGGGCUU
This 959-nucleotide ribosomal RNA is filed under the name uncultured bacterium. Its description in RNAcentral is "bacterial SSU rRNA". It matches the Rfam family "Bacterial small subunit ribosomal RNA", at positions 8 to 982 of the family's 1533-position model. The record is from RNAcentral.